Molecule: ribosomal RNA, 482 nt
Filed under: uncultured bacterium
Lineage: Bacteria
Description: bacterial SSU rRNA
Rfam family: Bacterial small subunit ribosomal RNA
Source: RNAcentral
UUGAACGCUGGCGGCAUGCCUUACACAUGCAAGUCGAACGGCAGCGCGGGGCAACCUGGCGGCGAGUGGCGAACGGGUGAGUAAUAUAUCGGAACGUGCCCAGUAGUGGGGGAUAGCCCGGCGAAAGCCGGAUUAAUACCGCAUGAUACCUGAGGGUGAAAGCGGGGGACUCGCAAGAGCCUCGCGCUACUGGAGCGGCCGAUAUCAGAUUAGGUAGUUGGUGGGGUAAAAGCCUACCAAGCCUGCGAUCUGUAGCUGGUCUGAGAGGACGACCAGCCACACUGGGACUGAGACACGGCCCAGACUCCUACGGGAGGCAGCAGUGGGGAAUUUUGGACAAUGGGCGAAAGCCUGAUCCAGCCAUGCCGCGUGCGGGAAGAAGGCCUUCGGGUUGUAAACCGCUUUUGUCAGGGAAGAAAUCCUUUGAGCUAAUACCUCAGAGGGAUGACGGUACCUGAAGAAUAAGCACCGGCUAACUACGU